GUGCCUACGGGGGGCAGCAGUAGGGAAUCUUCCACAAUGGGCGAAAGCCUGAUGGUGCGACGCCGCGUGGGGGAAUGACAAACUUCGGAUUGUAAACCCCUGUCAUGUGGGAGCAAAUUAAAAAGAUAGUACCACAAGAGGAAGAGACGGCUAACUCUGUGCCAGCAGCCGCGGUAAUACAGAGGUCUCAAGCGUUGUUCGGAAUCACUGGGCGUAAAGCGUGCGUAGGCUGUUUCGUAAGUCGUGUGUGAAAGGCGCGGGCUCAACCCGCGGACGGCACAUGAUACUGCGAGACUAGAGUAAUG
Molecule: ribosomal RNA, 305 nt
Filed under: uncultured bacterium
Lineage: Bacteria
Description: bacterial SSU rRNA
Rfam family: Bacterial small subunit ribosomal RNA
Source: RNAcentral